This 475-nucleotide ribosomal RNA is filed under the name Notacma sp. BF000995. RNAcentral describes it as "eukaryotic LSU rRNA". Lineage: Eukaryota; Metazoa; Arthropoda; Insecta; Hymenoptera; Ichneumonidae. The record is from RNAcentral.
CCUGAGAAACCCGAAAGAUCGAAUGGGGAGAUUCAUCGUCAGCGAUUUUGGUACGUGUGCGGUUCGCGAUGUCGGAGACCUCGGUCUCGCGACACGCGUCCGUAUGUUUUUUAUUGCCCGAGUCGUCGGCGUGCACUUCUCCCCUAGUAGGACGUCGCGACCCGUUGGGUGUCGAUCUUACGGGGAACGUUUGGGUGCCAGUCACGUUGUGUGCGCUUAACGGUGUUUACGCGUGGCAGACCGCAGUUCCCCCGACCGGCUGCCCGGCGGUACUCGCACGGUAUCUGGCCGCAAAUACUGCGUCCCGUCCGUCGCAAGCGCGGCAAGUGUUUCCCGGCUGUACGGAUCUAACGCCGUCAUCGGGCCUGGCCRGCUGUUGGUUGACGGUGUCCUGGGACUGGCUGACAAAAUUAUAUGAUACCGGUCGGCGACGCUACUGCUUUGGGUACUUUCAGGACCCGUCUUGAAACACGGA